CGGCCGCGGCGAGCGGGUCGAGCCGGUGCCGGCGCUCGUGCCGCUGGCGGCGGUGAUCGCCUGUCCUGCCGUCGGCCUCUCGACGGCGGCCGUC
RNAcentral lists this transfer RNA (94 nucleotides) under Planctomycetia bacterium. Its description in RNAcentral is "tRNA-Thr". The record is from RNAcentral. Lineage: Bacteria; Pseudomonadati; Planctomycetota; Planctomycetia.